CUAAUACAUGCAAGUCGAGCGAGAAGUCACAUUACUAAUUCUUCGGAAGAAGUAAAGUGAUGGAGAGCGGCGGACGGGUGAGUAACGCGUAGGCAACCUGCCUCUCACAGGGGGAUAGCCAUCGGAAACGGUGAUUAAUACCCCAUAAAGUCAAAAUAACACAUGUUAAGCUGACCAAAGAUUUAUCGGUGAGAGAUGGGCCUGCGUCUGAUUAACUAGUUGGUGAGGUAACGGCUCACCAAGGUGACGAUCAGUAGCCGACCUGAGAGGGUGAACGGCCACAUUGGAACUGAGACACGGUCCAAACUUCUACGGAAGGCAGCAGUAGGGAAUCUUGCACAAUGGGCGAAAGCCUGAUGCAGCAACGCCGCGUGAAGGAAGAAGGCCUUAGGGUCGUAAACUUCUGUUCUUGGGGAAGAAAAAAAUGACGGUACCCAAGGAGGAAGCCCCGGCUAACUACGUGCCAGCAGCCGCGGUAAUACGUAGGGGGCAAGCGUUAUCCGGAAUUAUUGGGCGUAAAGCGUGCGUAGGUGGUAAUUUAAGCGCAAGGUUUAAACUAACGGCUCAACCGUUAAUUGCCAUGCGAACUGGGUUACUUGAGUGCUGGAGGGGAAAGCGGAAUUCCUAGUGUAGCGGUGAAAUGCGUAGAUAUUAGGAGGAACACCGGCGGCGAAGGCGGCUUUCUGGACAGCAACUGACACUGAGGCACGAA
RNAcentral lists this ribosomal RNA (712 nucleotides) under uncultured bacterium. RNAcentral's name for it is "bacterial SSU rRNA". It matches the Rfam family "Bacterial small subunit ribosomal RNA", at positions 48 to 757 of the family's 1533-position model. The record is from RNAcentral.